AGGACGAACGCUGGCGGCGUGCUUAACACAUGCAAGUCGAGCGGAAAGGCCCUUCGGGGUACUCGAGCGGCGAACGGGUGAGUAACACGUGAGCAACCUGCCCCUGGCUCUGGGAUAGCUCCGGGAAACCGGGAUUAAAUACCGGACAUGACCUUCUCCUGCAUGGGAGUUGGUGGAAAGUUUUUCGGCCAGGGAUGGGCUCGCGGCCUAUCAGCUUGUUGGCAGGGUAAUGGCCUACCAAGGCGACGACGGGUA
Molecule: ribosomal RNA, 255 nt
Filed under: uncultured bacterium
Lineage: Bacteria
Description: partial small subunit ribosomal RNA
Rfam family: Bacterial small subunit ribosomal RNA
Source: RNAcentral